UCGAGGAUCUUCGGCAAUGGGCGCAAGCCUGACCGAGCGACGCCGCGUGUGGGAUGAAGGCCUUCGGGUUGUAAACCACUGUCAGAGGGGAUGAAAUGCGCAUGGGUUCUCCCAUGCGUUUGACAUAGCCUCAGAGGAAGCAAGGGCUAAGUUCGUGCCAGCAGCCGCGGUAAGACGAACCUUGCUAACGUUAUUCGGAAUCACUGGGCUUAAAGGGUGCGUAGGCUGCGCAGAAAGUUGGGUGUGAAAUCCCUCGGCUUAACCGAGGAACUGCGCCCAAAACUACUGUGCUCGAGGGAGACAGAGGUGAGCGGAACUUAGGGUGGAGCGGUGAAAUGCGUUGAUAUCCUAAGGAACACCCGUGGCGAAAGCGGCUCACUGGGUCUCUUCUGACGCUGAGGCACGAAAGCUAGGGUAGCGAACGGGAUUAGAUACCCCCGUAGUCC
This 446-nucleotide ribosomal RNA is filed under the name uncultured bacterium. RNAcentral's name for it is "bacterial SSU rRNA". It matches the Rfam family "Bacterial small subunit ribosomal RNA", at positions 355 to 796 of the family's 1533-position model. The record is from RNAcentral.